AUUGAACGCUGGCGGCAGGCCUAACACAUGCAAGUCGAACGAGUGGCGGACGGGUGAGUAAUGUCUGGGAAACUGCCUGCUGGAGGGGGAUAACUACUGGAAACGGUAGCUGAUACCGCAUACCAUCGGAUGUGCCCAGGUGGGAGUAGCUGGUAGGUGGGGUAAAGGCUCACCUAGGCGACGAUCCCUAGCUGGUCUGAGAGGAUGACGAGACACACUGGAACUGAGACACGGUCCAGACUCCUACGGGAGGCAGCAGUGGGGAAUAUGGCACAAUGGGCGCAAGCCUGAUUCAGCCAUGCGGCGUGUAUGAAGAAGGCCUUCGGGUGGUAAAGUACUUUCAGCGGGGAGGCGGUACCCGAAGAAGAAGCACCGGCUAACUCCGUGCCAGCAGCCGCGGUAAUAC
This 406-nucleotide ribosomal RNA is filed under the name uncultured bacterium. RNAcentral's name for it is "partial 16S ribosomal RNA". It matches the Rfam family "Bacterial small subunit ribosomal RNA", at positions 29 to 526 of the family's 1533-position model. The record is from RNAcentral.